This is a long non-coding RNA of Theobroma umbraticum, 368 nucleotides long. RefSeq lists it as uncharacterized. Lineage: Eukaryota; Viridiplantae; Streptophyta; Magnoliopsida; Malvales; Malvaceae. The record is from RefSeq and is a predicted model, not a curated record.
CAAUGAAGCCACCUGACUCCAAACCCGUACCCGUUUCGAUUUGGGGUUCAUGCAUAAAUACCACCGAUCAGCUCUGCUCUGCCGUCUAGUAGAGUAACAGGAUUUUACUCGCAGCGACGCCAUGAGAGCCAAGUGGAAGAAGAAGCGGAUGAGGAGGUUGAAAAGAAAGCGCAGGAAGAUGAGGCAGAGAUCUAAGUAGCUGCUGUUGCUGCUCACUCCAAGACCAUUCUCCAAUCUUUUUCUUUAGCUUUUGAUUGUAACCCAUCUUUUAUUUUUGUCGACUUUUUCUUAGCAUCGUAUUCCGAGUUGUAAUCGUACCUUUUUCUGGGUACAUUUUGCUUAAUUUCAAUGGACUUAUCUUGAGUUGC